GCUCUUACGACCUAGUGGUUAGAGCGUCCGCCUCGGAUGCGGGAGGUCGUGGGUUCGAUCCCCCGCCGAGUCAUGCCA
Non-coding RNA from Potamilus streckersoni, 78 nucleotides. NCBI's taxonomy places the organism in Eukaryota, Metazoa, Mollusca, Bivalvia, Unionida, Unionidae. The record is from the annotation of a GenBank genome assembly.